CUCUUUGUCUAUAGGCGGUUGCGUCUACCUCAUGUAGAUAUGGAUGUGGUUUCGCAUACCAGUUGGUCGGCCACGUGUUUUCCAGCCUAGACCAUGGCCAUGGAUCAUUGUUGGAAAUGGCCGUCUUCAACCGACGUAUGCUUAUAUUUGGGACCAAGUGGCAGCUCCUUUUGCUAGAGCUAAGAGGGCAUAUAUGGAGUAUGUUAACGAGUUUGACACGCUUUCGGCCUCUAGCAUAAGUACUCAACAUGUAUAUCUUAUCAUUAUGAAAUUUGUUUUAUUAUACUUAACAUAGAUUGCUUCAUUUUUAUUUCAGGUCACAUGGCAGUCAUACAACGCACCUGAGUUGGAUGGGAUGAUCUUUAGUGAAGUAUGCAACAGUGAAGAUGAACUCUAUAGGAUGCAAUGUCCUAUGAUCUGUUUUUGGUGUGUUGAGUGGCACCUACCUCAUAGGGUUUAGAGGCAGUUUGGUAGGAACCAGAUAUGGCCGGUUGAAGAUAUUCCAACUUCUAAGGAGCUACACAAAUUUGACCGGCGAAAGCAAAAGAAGAUAACAGACUUUCGUCAACAUCAUCUGAUAUUUAUUAAUGAAUGGGAUUUGGGUGGUGAGAAUGUAUAUUCCAACGAUGAGUUGCACAACAACAGUGACUACAGGCGGUACCAAGCUUGGUACCAGGGUGCGACUCAUUGUAAGCUUCGCCAACAGUGGACAGCAGAUGACUACGCUGACAUUGAUUCUUCUGACGAUGAAGAAACGGAGUACGACCUGUCCACUACACUGGAAACCCAAGUGGAGGCGGCACCCAUCUUGGAUCGAGUUCUAAGUUUUACUCGAUUUUAAUACUCGACAUGUAUAAUUGUAUGUUUGAUGCAAAUUAUGUUGUAUAGGGUAACACAUUGAGACGCUCGGUAGAGGACAUUGAUCGCCAACUUUUGACUGUGGGCGACAGCAGCAUGCGCAGCUUCUUGGAGCGUUUAUUUAGGCGCCUACGUGGAGCUGCUGCUCGCUGUGGCUGCAGGACUAAUGUUGCACAUGACGUCCAUGUACCAUCGUAUACCCACACAGCAAUGCCCUCCAUAGGAAUGGGUGCUGGCUUCGACUACGAUCACGACGAGAUAGGACCUUCACAGCUUCUCCACAACGUUAUGCUCUAGGCACCGAUGCUUUAGGCAAGGGUAAGACUAGGAGACGUUGACUUGGUUUGGACUCUAUGGACUUGUUAUGUAGCGUAUGAAUUCUAUGGACUUGUAAUGGACUUGUAUGAAUUCUAUGGACUAUUAU
This is a long non-coding RNA of Zea mays, 1282 nucleotides long. RefSeq lists it as uncharacterized. The transcript has 3 exons. The record is from RefSeq and is a predicted model, not a curated record. NCBI's taxonomy places the organism in Eukaryota, Viridiplantae, Streptophyta, Magnoliopsida, Poales, Poaceae.